This 403-nucleotide ribosomal RNA is filed under the name uncultured bacterium. RNAcentral's name for it is "bacterial SSU rRNA". It matches the Rfam family "Bacterial small subunit ribosomal RNA", at positions 109 to 550 of the family's 1533-position model. The record is from RNAcentral.
AGUAACACGUGAAUCAUCUACCUCCGAGUGGGGAAUACUAAGAAAUCUGGGCUAAUACCGCAUAACACUUACGAGUCAAAGCAGCAAUGCGCUUGGAGAGGAGUUCGCGGGCGAUUAGUUAGUUGGCGGGGUAAUGCCACCAAGACGAUGAUCGGUAUCCGGCCUGAAGGCGCACGGACACACUGGAACUGAAACACGGUCCAGACUCCUACGGGAGGCAAGUGGGGAAUUUUGCGCAAUGGGGGAAACCCUGACGCAGCAACGCCGCGUGGAGGAUGAAAUAUCUUGGUAUGUAAACUCCUUUCGAUGGGGAAGAUUAUGACGGUACCCAUAGAAGAAGCCCCGGCUAACUUCGUGCCAGCAGCCGCGGGUAAUACCGAGGGGGGGCAAGCGUUGUUCGGAA